RNAcentral lists this non-coding RNA (31 nucleotides) under Rattus norvegicus (Norway rat). The record is from RNAcentral. Lineage: Eukaryota; Metazoa; Chordata; Mammalia; Rodentia; Muridae.
UGGCCAGCUUGCUCCUGUGAUACCAACUCUU